RNAcentral lists this unclassified non-coding RNA (377 nucleotides) under uncultured Oligoflexaceae bacterium. RNAcentral's name for it is "contains 16S-23S intergenic spacer region". The record is from RNAcentral. Lineage: Bacteria; Pseudomonadati; Bdellovibrionota; Oligoflexia; Oligoflexales; Oligoflexaceae.
UCCGGUUUAACACCGGCAGUCCCUUCAGAGUGCCCAACUUAAUGGUGGCAACUAAAGGCAAGGGUUGCGCUCGUUGCGGGACUUAACCCAACAUCUUACGACACGAGCUGACGACAGCCAUGCAGCACCUAUCUCCCUGUCCCCGAAGGGAACCCACUAUCUCUAAUGGUGUCAGGGGAUGUUAAGCCCAGGUAAGGUUCUGCGCGUUGCUUCGAAUUAAACCACAUACUCCACCGCUUGUGCGGGCCCCCGUCAAUUCCUUUGAGUUUUAGUCUUGCGACCGUACUCCCCAGGCGGAUUACUUAAUGCGUGAGCUUCGGUACCCAGGAGGUUAACAUCCCGGACACCUAGUAAUCAUAGUUUACGGCGUGGACUAC